GAUGAAGAACGUAGCGAACUGCGAUAAGUAAUGCGAAUUGCAGAAUUCAGUGAAUCAUCGAGUCUUUGAACGCACAUUGCGCCCCCUGGCAUUCCGGGGGGCAUGCCUGUCCGAGCGUCAUUUCUGCCCAUCAAGCGCGGCUUGUGUGUUGGGUCGUCGUCUCCUCCGGGAGACGGGCCCGAAAGGCAGCGGCGGUACCGUCCGGUCCUCGAGCGUAUGGGAGCUUUGUCACCCGCUCGAUUAGGGCCCGGUCGGCGCCAGCCGUCAACCCCAAUUUUUAUUCAGGUUGACCUCGGAUCAGGUAGGGAUACCCGCUGAACUUAAGCAUAUCAAUAAGCGGAGGA
This 344-nucleotide unclassified non-coding RNA is filed under the name soil metagenome. Its description in RNAcentral is "partial contains 5.8S ribosomal RNA, internal transcribed spacer 2, and large subunit ribosomal RNA". The stretch from base 1 to 120 matches the Rfam family "5.8S ribosomal RNA", at positions 35 to 154 of the family's 154-position model. The record is from RNAcentral.